AAGUCGUAACAAGGUUUCCGUAGGUGAACCUGCGGAAGGAUCAUUACCGAAUCUCGGCCCGGGGGGGGAUGUCUAGUAGUAUUUCGGAGUGCUGUCGCUGGCCUUCGGGCAAAAUGUGCACGUCUCCGGAGUCCGACGGCGUCCCCUCACCGAUGCCUCUCUCCAAACACCUGUGUGCACCUGUUGUAGGUCUCGUCACUGGGACCUAUGUAUUCCAUAUAAACUCGCAUGUAUACAGAACGUUGUCCAAAUAUAAUAUAACUUUCAGCAACGGAUCUCUUGGCUCUCGCAUCGAUGAAGAACGCAGCGAAUCGCGAUAAGUAAUGUGAAUUGCAGAUUUUCCGUGAAUCAUCGAAUCUUUGAACGCACCUUGCGCUCCUCGGUAUUCCGAGGAGCAUGCCUGUUUGAGUGUCAUCGAAAUCUCAAAUCCCGGUCCGGGGGUUUGGACUUUGGGAGUCUGCCGGCGACCCGACCUCGGGACGUCGGCUCUCCUCAAAUGCAUUAGCGGUGGGCGCGAGCCUUUGCACGGCACGGCCUGUUUUCGACGUCGUAGUGAUCGUCGCGGGCUGGAAGUGCUCGGAUCGACAUGUCUCAUGCUUCCAAGCUAGUAUAAAUGAUUAAGGCUUGACCUCAAAUCAGGCAGGACUACCCGCUGAACUUAA
This 662-nucleotide ribosomal RNA is filed under the name uncultured Basidiomycota. RNAcentral describes it as "eukaryotic LSU rRNA". The stretch from base 260 to 414 matches the Rfam family "5.8S ribosomal RNA". Lineage: Eukaryota; Fungi; Basidiomycota. The record is from RNAcentral.